RNAcentral lists this ribosomal RNA (253 nucleotides) under uncultured bacterium. Its description in RNAcentral is "partial 16S ribosomal RNA". It matches the Rfam family "Bacterial small subunit ribosomal RNA", at positions 524 to 776 of the family's 1533-position model. The record is from RNAcentral.
UACGUAGGGUGCGAGCGUUGUCCGGAAUUAUUGGGCGUAAAGCGUCCGCAGGUGGCUAUGUAAGUCUGCUGUUAAAGAGUCUGGCUCAACCAGAUAAAGGCAGUGGAAACUACAUGGCUAGAGUGCGUUCGGGGCAGAGGGAAUUCCUGGUGUAGCGGUGAAAUGCGUAGAGAUCAGGAAGAACACCGGUGGCGAAAGCGCUCUGCUAGGCCGCAACUGACACUGAGGGACGAAAGCUAGGGGAGCGAAUGGG